This 66-nucleotide transfer RNA is filed under the name Notocomplana palta. Its description in RNAcentral is "tRNA-Met". The record is from RNAcentral. Lineage: Eukaryota; Metazoa; Platyhelminthes; Polycladida; Notocomplanidae.
AUAUUAUACAAAGCUGUUAACUUUGUGAUGUGCCUUAGAGCACCCCUUUAGUAUAAUUUAUAGAGA